ACAUAAUGCAUGGUUGUGUCAGAAGAUUUUCCUAUAAUUUAAAGGUGUUUUUGGUUAAAGGUAGAAAUCAUAUUAUUUUCACAUGGGGAACUUAGCUUAAGGAAAGAAGUCUAUUUAUGAUGGGAAAACGGAUGUAAAGCUAGCUAAAGAAAUUCACUUCAAGGAAUUGAUAUAGUAUUGCUUGGAAUUUAACAGGUUUUGGUUACCAGCCAAGAUGCAGAUGAUUAUUUUGAAAGGACCCUGUAAAAUGAAUUUUGGAGGUUCACAACCUGGCAAUUGUUGCAUUUAAGGUCUUUUAUCCUUGAUGUGAUGAAAGGGAGUUUAGUUGCUUAUAGAUCUUUUGCCUAGAUCAAAUUAGUGCAUUAUGUCACAGUUUAUA
RNAcentral lists this unclassified non-coding RNA (379 nucleotides) under Hevea brasiliensis (rubber tree). Lineage: Eukaryota; Viridiplantae; Streptophyta; Magnoliopsida; Malpighiales; Euphorbiaceae. The record is from RNAcentral.